UGGGGAAUAUUGCACAAUGGGGGAAACCCUGAUGCAGCGACGCCGCGUGAGCGAUGAAGGCUUUCGAGUCGUAAAGCUCUGUCCUAUGGGAAGAUAAUGACGGUACCAUAGAAGAAAGCCCCGGCUAAUUACGUGCCAGCAGCCGCGGUAAUACGUAAGGGGCGAGCGUUGUCCGGAAUUAUUGGGCGUAAAGCGCGCGCAGGUGGUUUAGAAAGUCUGAUGUGAAAGCCCACGGCUCAACCGUGGAGGGUCAUUGGAAACUAAUAAACUGGAGUGCAGGAGAGAAAAGUGGAAUUCCUAGUGUAGCGGUGAAAUGCGUAGAGAUUAGGAGGAACACCGGUGGCGAAAGCGGCUUUUUGGCCUGCAACUGACACUGAGGCGCGAAAGCGUGGGGAGCAAACAGG
This 404-nucleotide ribosomal RNA is filed under the name Verrucomicrobiota bacterium. Its description in RNAcentral is "Verrucomicrobia bacterium partial 16S ribosomal RNA". It matches the Rfam family "Bacterial small subunit ribosomal RNA", at positions 355 to 776 of the family's 1533-position model. The record is from RNAcentral. Lineage: Bacteria; Pseudomonadati; Verrucomicrobiota.